UAGCAUAUCAAUAAGCGGAGGAAAAGAAACUAACAAGGAUUCCCCUAGUAACUGCGAGUGAAGCGGGAAAAGCUCAAAUUUAAAAUCUGGCGGUCUUUGGCCGUCCGAGUUGUAGUCUGGAGAAGUGCUUUCCGCGCUGGACCGUGUACAAGUCUCUUGGAACAGAGCGUCAUAGAGGGUGAGAAUCCCGUCUUUGACACGGACUACCAGUGCUUUGUGAUGCGCUCUCAAAGAGUCGAGUUGUUUGGGAAUGCAGCUCAAAAUGGGUGGUGAAUUCCAUCUAAAGCUAAAUAUUGGCGAGAGACCGAUAGCGAACAAGUACCGUGAGGGAAAGAUGAAAAGCACUUUGGAAAGAGAGUUAAACAGUACGUGAAAUUGCUGAAAGGGAAACGCUUGAAGUCAGUCGCGUUGAUUGGAACUCAGCCUUGCUCCGGCUUGGUGCACUUUCCAGUCGACGGGCCAGCAUCGAUUUUGAUCGUCGGAAAAGGGCCGGAGUAAUGUGGCACCUCCGGGUGUGUUAUAGACUCUGGUCGCAUACGGCGGUUGGGAUCGAGGGACGCAGCGCGCCGCAAGGCAGGGGCUUUUGCCUACUUUCGCGCUUAGGAUGCUGGCAUAAUGGCUUUAAACGACCCGUCUUGAAACACGGACCAAGGAGUCUAACAUGCCUGCGAGUGUUUGGGUGGAAAACCCGAGCGCGCAAUGAAAGUGAAAGUUGAGACCUCUGUCGUGGAGGGCAUCGACGCCCGGACCUGACGUUCUCUGACGGAUCCGCGGUAGAGCAUGUAUGUUGGGACCCGAAAGAUGGUGAACUAUGCCUGAAUAGGGUGAAGCCAGAGGAAACUCUGGUGGAGGCUCGUAGCGAUUCUGACGUGCAAAUCGAUCGUCAAAUUUGGGUAUAGGGGCGAAAGACUAAUCGAACCAUCUAGUAGCUGGUUCCUGCCG
This 942-nucleotide ribosomal RNA is filed under the name Perenniporia djaensis. RNAcentral describes it as "LSU rRNA". It matches the Rfam family "Eukaryotic large subunit ribosomal RNA", at positions 36 to 963 of the family's 3401-position model. Lineage: Eukaryota; Fungi; Basidiomycota; Agaricomycetes; Polyporales; Polyporaceae. The record is from RNAcentral.